Oncorhynchus kisutch (coho salmon) is the source of this 1613-nucleotide long non-coding RNA. RefSeq lists it as uncharacterized. The transcript has 4 exons. The record is from RefSeq and is a predicted model, not a curated record. NCBI's taxonomy places the organism in Eukaryota, Metazoa, Chordata, Actinopteri, Salmoniformes, Salmonidae.
CUCUCUCAGACGUUGUGGCAAGCAGCGAGCAGAGAGCGAGAGCAGCAAAUGAAAGACGAUUCAGCGAACAUUUCUGCAUCAUUCCAGAUCCACUUCCUCUGUCUGACAUCACUACCAGGUCAGGGGUCAAGCAAGUGGACACUUCCUGUGUUGACAGUGACGUUGAGAAUCAGACCCUUGAGAUCACAAUAUAACCGACGUGAUGAAAUAAAACCCAACCUAAGACCGACGAGUUCCUCACAAAAUAAUCCUUCAAUGUCAUUUUAUCCAACAAACUAUUAUAACAUUUUUUUCAAACACUUCAUCCCAUUUUUCAGAUUGAAGUGUUAUAUUUUCAAAACUCUCACAACAAAACUCAAAACUCCUAUUGAUUGCAGUACUCGCGGGGGUAAUACACUCGACCACUGCUACUCUAACUUCCGUGAUCCAUACAAAGCCGUUCCCCGCCACCCCUUCGGCAAAUCCGACCACGGCGCCAUCUUGCUCCUACCGUCUUAUAGGUAGAAACUCAAACAGGAUGUACCAGUGACUAGAACCAUUCAACGCUGGUCUGACCAAUCGGAAUCCAUUCUUCAAGAUUGUUUGAUCACGCAGACUGGGAUGUGUUCCGGUCAGCCUCAGAGAACAACAUCGAUCUAUACGCUGACUCUGUGAGUGAGUUUAUAAGGAAGUGCAUUGGAGAUGUUGUACCCACUGUGCCUAUUAAAACCUUCCCUAACCAGAAACCGUGGAUGGAUAGCGGCAUUCGUGCAAAACUGAAAGCGCGAACCACCACAUUUAACCACAGAAAGAGGUCUGGGAAUAAGACUGAAUAUGAAGAAUGUAGUUAUUCCCUCCGCAAGGCAAUCAAACGAGCGAAAUGCCGGUACAGGGACGAAGAUGAGUUGCAAUUCAACGGCUCAGACAUAAGACGUGUGUGGCAGGGCCUACAGGAAAUCAAGGACUACAAAAAGAAAACCAGCUCUGUCACGGACACCGACGUCAUUCUUCCAGACAAACUAAACACCUUCUUUGCCCGCUUUGAGGAUAUACAGUGCCAACGUUGAAGCCCGCUAUCAAGGACUGAGCCCGCCCUUUCCUUCUCGGUGGCCGACUCUGCUGUCCCCACAUGCUUCAAGAUGGCCACCAUUGUUCCUGUGCCCAAGAAGGCAAAGAUAACUGAACUAAAUGACUACUGCUCCGUAGCACUUACUUCUGUCAUCAUGACGUGCUGAGAGACUAGUCAAGGAUCAUAUCACCUCCACCUUACCUGUCACCCUAGACCCAAUUCAGUUUGCAUACCACCCCAAUAGGUCCACAGACGAUGCAAUCGCCAUCACACUGCACACUGCCCUGUCCCAUCUGAACAAGAGGAACACCUAUGUAAGAAUGCUGUUCAUUGACUACAGCUCAGCAUUCAACACCAUAGAACCAUUCAAGCUCAUCAUCUCUGCCGCUCGGCUAUCGCUCAUCCACAUAUUUAUAUGUGCAUAUUCUCAUUCAACCCUUUUUUGUAUUAGGUAGUUGUUUGGGAAUUGUUAGAUUACUUGUUAGAUAUUACUGCACAAGCAUUUCGCAUUAACAUCUGCUAACCAUGUGUAUGUGACCAAUAAAAUUGGAUUUGAUUUAUACAG